This 443-nucleotide ribosomal RNA is filed under the name uncultured bacterium. RNAcentral's name for it is "partial 16S ribosomal RNA". It matches the Rfam family "Bacterial small subunit ribosomal RNA", at positions 338 to 795 of the family's 1533-position model. The record is from RNAcentral.
CCUACGGGAGGCAGCAGUGGGGAAUAUUGGGCAAUGGGCGCAAGCCUGACCCAGCCACGCCGCGUGAAGGAAGACGGCUUUCGGGUUUUAAACUUCUUUUCUCAGGGACGAAAAAAGUGACGGUACCUGAGGAAUAAGCCACGGCUAACUACGUGCCAGCGGCCGCGGUAAUACGUAGGUGGCAAGCGUUAUCCGGAUUUACUGGGUGUAAAGGGCGGGUAGGCGGGGAAGCAAGUCAGAUGUGAAAACCACGGGCUCAACCUGUGGCCUGCAGUUGAAACUGUUUUUCUUGAGUACUGGAGAGGUAGACGGAAUGCAUGGUGUAGCGGUGAAAUGCGUAGAUAUCAGGCGGAACACCAGUGGCGAAGGCGGUCUGCUGGACAGCAACUGACGCUGAGGCGCGAAAGUGUGGGGAGCAAACAGGAUUAGAUACCCUGGUAGUC